This 497-nucleotide ribosomal RNA is filed under the name uncultured bacterium. Its description in RNAcentral is "partial 16S ribosomal RNA". It matches the Rfam family "Bacterial small subunit ribosomal RNA", at positions 28 to 507 of the family's 1533-position model. The record is from RNAcentral.
GAUGAACGCUGGCGGCGUGCCUAAUACAUGCAAGUCGAACGGACGGACGAGAAUCUUGCGUCGUUGAUGUUAGGGGCGGACGGGAGUGUAACACGUGUAUAACCCACCUAUCAGACUGGGAAAAUCUCGGGAAACCGGAUCUUACAGCGGAGAAUAUCUUGAUGCGCGGUGGGCAAAAGUGAAAUACGGCCUUGGGGUCACUUAUAGAUGGAUCCGGGCUGCAUUAGCUAGUUGGUAAGGUAAAGGCCUACCAAGGCAAGGAUGCAUAGACGAGGUCAGAGAGUGAUAGCCGACAUGGGAACGGAGACGCGGUCCAGACUCCUACGAGAGGCCGCAGUAGGGAAUCUUCCGCAGUGGUCGAAAGCAUGACGGAGCAACGCCACGUGUGUGAUGAAGGUCUUGGGUUCGUAAAGCUGUGUUAUUAGGGAAGAACAUAUGUGUAAUUAAAUGAGGACAUCUUGACGGUACCUGAUCAGAAAGCCACGGCUAACUACGUG